RNAcentral lists this ribosomal RNA (409 nucleotides) under uncultured bacterium. Its description in RNAcentral is "bacterial SSU rRNA". It matches the Rfam family "Bacterial small subunit ribosomal RNA", at positions 9 to 418 of the family's 1533-position model. The record is from RNAcentral.
GAGUUUGAUCCUGGCUCAGAUUGAACGCUGGCGGCAUGCUUUACACAUGCAAGUCGAACGGUAACAGGGAGCUUGCUCCGCUGACGAGUGGCGAACGGGUGAGUAAUGCAUCGGAACGUGCCUAUUUGUGGGGGAUAACGUAGCGAAAGUUACGCUAAUACCGCAUACGCCCUGAGGGGGAAAGCGGGGGAUUCGUAAGAACCUCGCGCAAUUAGAGCGGCCGAUGUCGGAUUAGCUAGUUGGUGGGGUAAAGGCUCACCAAGGCGACGAUCCGUAGCGGGUCUGAGAGGAUGAUCCGCCACACUGGGACUGAGACACGGCCCAGACUCCUACGGGAGGCAGCAGUGGGGAAUUUUGGACAAUGGGCGAAAGCCUGAUCCAGCCAUGCCGCGUGAGUGAAGAAGGCCUU